AUUGAACGCUGGCGGCAGGCCUAACACAUGCAAGUCGAACGAGUGGCGGACGGGUGAGUAAUGUCUGGGAAACUGCCCGGUGGAGGGGGAUAACUACUGGAAACGGUAGCUAAUAACGCAUACCAUCGGAUGUGCCCAGAUGGGUGUAGCUAGUAGGUGGGGUAAAGGAUCACCUAGGCGACGAUCCAUAGCUGGUCUGAGAGGAUGACCAGCCACACUGGAACUGAGACACGGUCCAGAAUCCUACGGGAGGCAGCAGUGGGGAAUAUUGCACAAUGGGCGCAAGCCGGAUGCAGCCAUGCCGCGGGUAUGAAGAAGGCCUUCGGGUUGUAAAGUACUUUCAGCGAGGAGGCGUUACUCGCAGAAGAAGCACCGGCUAACUCCGUGCCAGCAGCCGCGGUAAUUC
Molecule: ribosomal RNA, 406 nt
Filed under: uncultured bacterium
Lineage: Bacteria
Description: partial 16S ribosomal RNA
Rfam family: Bacterial small subunit ribosomal RNA
Source: RNAcentral